Ceraceosorus bombacis is the source of this 97-nucleotide transfer RNA. It matches the Rfam family "tRNA". Rfam says of the family: Transfer RNA (tRNA) molecules are approximately 80 nucleotides in length. Their secondary structure includes four short double-helical elements and three loops (D, anti-codon, and T loops). NCBI's taxonomy places the organism in Eukaryota, Fungi, Basidiomycota, Exobasidiomycetes, Ceraceosorales, Ceraceosoraceae. The record is from Rfam.
GAACUCUUGGCGCAAUGGUAGCGCAUCUGAUUCCAGUGUUUGCGGACUUUUGCCCGAAGGCUCCAGAAGGUUGAGCGUUCGAUUCGCUCAGAGUUCA